Molecule: non-coding RNA, 152 nt
Organism: Cinara cedri
Lineage: Eukaryota; Metazoa; Arthropoda; Insecta; Hemiptera; Aphididae
Source: the annotation of a GenBank genome assembly
GUCGCGAAGUCUACUCGAGAUCGACUUUCCCACUUUUUAAAUUCAUCUCCUUAAAUUCUAAAAAAAAUCCAUACUAAUAAAUGUGUAAUUGAGAAAAUGGAAUCAAACAAUCAAGAAACGUGGGAAAGUCGAUUUCAAGUGGACUUCGCGAC